GAUGAAGAACGUAGCGAAAUGCGAUAAGUAAUGUGAAUUUCAGAAUUCAGUGAAUCAUCGAAUCUUUGAACGCACAUUGCGCCCGCCAGUAUUCUGGCGGGCAUGCCUGUUCGAGCGUCAUUACAACCCUCAGGCCCCCGGGCCUGGCGUUGGGGAUCGGCGGAGCCCCCCGUGGGCACACGCCGUCCCCCAAAUGCAGUGGCGGUCCCGCCGCAGCUUCCAUCGCGUAGUAGCUAACACCUCGCGACUGGAGAGCGGCGCGGCCACGCCGUAAAACACCCAACUCUUCUGAAGUUGACCUCGAAUCCGGUAGGAAUACCCGCUGAGCUUAAGCAUAUCAAUAAGCGGAGGA
This 352-nucleotide unclassified non-coding RNA is filed under the name soil metagenome. RNAcentral's name for it is "partial contains 5.8S ribosomal RNA, internal transcribed spacer 2, and large subunit ribosomal RNA". The stretch from base 1 to 120 matches the Rfam family "5.8S ribosomal RNA", at positions 35 to 154 of the family's 154-position model. The record is from RNAcentral.